Molecule: non-coding RNA, 84 nt
Organism: Bombyx mori (domestic silkworm)
Lineage: Eukaryota; Metazoa; Arthropoda; Insecta; Lepidoptera; Bombycidae
Source: Rfam
UUAACUCAAAUUUGUAUGGAAUGGGAUCGUUUUCGUACGUUUGCCGCUAGGGGCGCUGUUCCAAUUGCAUACAAAAUUGGGUUA